Molecule: non-coding RNA, 565 nt
Organism: Macaca mulatta (Rhesus monkey)
Lineage: Eukaryota; Metazoa; Chordata; Mammalia; Primates; Cercopithecidae
Source: RefSeq, a predicted model, not a curated record
UUACUUGAAGAGAAGCAAAUGUGAAUUUGUGAAGUGCUUUCACCUCUUCAUUCAUUCCUUCAACAAAUACUUUUAAAGCACCUACUAUGUGCCAGGAACUAUGGAGUAUUAUAGAGACACAGAAGAAAGCAAGAAAAAUUGCUGACUCAGCUCUCAUGAGGAUGAGAAUCUAGGGGAAGAAAUAGACAGAAACUAAACCAAUAAUAAAAUGGCAAAUAUGAUAUAGAAUGAAAGAGCCCUGGGCAGAAGAGAGGGCAGAAGGAAUGAAACUGAGGGGCAGAGAGAUGGAAACUAACCCUGAUACUGAUCAUCUAUAAUCUGCCAAUCAUUUCAUGUACAUUAGUUUAUUUCAUAUUUCCAGAAAUUUCUUGUGGUGAGUAUUAUUAGGUAAAUUUUAAAGAUGAGAAAGUGGACAUUCAUCAAGGUUAAAGGAUUUGUCCAUGUAAAUUGUGCAGCCAGGAAUCUGAUCCAGUUCUGAGUGACUCCAAACCCAUUUCCCUUUCCAUUUGUUGAAAUUUAAAUUUAAGUGUUUUAAACCAACAAAUAAAAAUUGUGUGUGUAUAUA